RNAcentral lists this long non-coding RNA (3440 nucleotides) under Nicotiana tabacum (common tobacco). RNAcentral describes it as "long non-coding RNA (NTAB_LNC007099)". Lineage: Eukaryota; Viridiplantae; Streptophyta; Magnoliopsida; Solanales; Solanaceae. The record is from RNAcentral.
ACCUGCGAAGAUCAGAAACAUUUCCUUCAUUAAAAAUCAAACAACAUUUGCAUUCUUUGGUUUUAAAAAAACAAAAACGGGAGAUGCAGAACAAUUUCAUUCCAACUUUCAAUGCAUUCUAGGCAAAGAAAUUUUUGUUCAUAAGCUUUAAAGAAGCAGGAACAAAUUGCGCAGAAGCCUUAUCCGAUUUUUUGGUUCUAAGUUCAAUCCACGAAGGUUUCCAAUGGAAUAUUAUACGGAGUUUUCCCUACUUCAGGUAUGUUAAGGCCUUCCCUUUUUUCUUUUGGCAUAGUUCAUAUGAUACUGAAGAAACAAGCAAACACACAGUUUCUAUAAAUUACUCUAUUCAUAGAAAUAGUAGGGGUGUCUAUAUUCUUGAUUCCCCAUGAAAAAUAUUAUUAUCUUCUGUUCAUGGGCCUCAAAAUAAUACACAGUUUAAAAAGUUUAUCCAGAAGGAAUAUAUAGAUUAUUAUGUAUUUUCAUUCAUUUCACUCAUUUAUACAUGUGCAUUGACCCAUGACCAGAUAGCGUUAUAUAUGCAUAUAUAUCUAAAUAUAUGUAUAUGGGAUAUGGGAAAAUCUUACGGCAUUAUAUACGCACCACCACCUGAUCAGCUGGUAUAUGUUGAUGAUGUUGCCCAUAGUGGCCGAGAUGAUAUGAUGGGAUGCCCUCAGUGGCUUGAAGAUAUUAUGUAAACCCAUACCUAUGCAUGACACGACAUUUAUACACACGUGCAUGACAUUAUAAUUUUUUUAGAAUUUACAAAGUUAUUCAGAUUUAAAGACGUGUUUCUAUACUCCAUGUUUUAUCUAUGUCUUUUACAUACUAAUUUCCACGCCUUACUAACAGUACAUUUUUUCGCACUAACGCCCUAUUUCACGGGGCCUACGUUUCAUGCCCGCAGGGGUAGUUAGGCAAGCUGAUAGUCCCCCUUCUUAGGAUCCCUGAUCAGCGAGAGUUUGCGUGCUCCACUUGAUCCAGAGUUGUUUUUGAGUUUGGUACGAUACGUUUAUAUAUAUAUAUAUAUGUAUAUAUAUAUAUAUAUAUAUAUAUAUAUAUAGACAGUAUGUUUCCAUUUAGAGGUCUAUAGACAGUAUGUCUAGUUGGGUUGUAUGUGACCAUGUCGACUUUCAGUUAUUUGAUGUAUAGUUGUCUAUAGCAGCCUUGCCGGCUCACCCACUAUUUUCUGCAUGAUUAAGUACAUAUGCCUUGUUGGCAUGUUUCCUUCAUGUAUGUUACAUUCAUAAUUCAAUAGAUGUUAUACUGGUUCAUAUCCUAGAUGCAAGCUUAGGAAUGUUUGACAGGUAGGACUCAAGCACCCGUCGCGGCCCAUCGGUUUGGGUCGUGACACUCUAACUAUUAUGCCGUAACCCCCUAAAUCUCCCAUACCUCUUCGAUCCCCGAAUAUAUAUGGGGUUAUUUGGUGUUUUUCUACCCUAUCUAACCUAUUACCUCUACUGGUUGUUCGAUUCUUGCUAUUCUUUGAAGGAACCUCGAAGAGAUUCGACUCAGAGUCGACUUAGGCUCUUCGUUUUCUUAUUAACUCGCCUCUUGUUCAUCAAUGUUUGUGAGUGUUUUUGUCUUUAAGGUUAUGGUUGGAUUAUUCCCUCACCUCGUCCCCUUUUGUCAAAACCCUCAUCUUUAAACUUUGAAUCUAUUCAGAUCCUUGUAGAUCUAAAACAGUUUUAAUAUUAUACGGAAGUGUUUCUUUAAAAUCUCUUGUUCCCUCUAUCGUUAAUUGAUUUUAAUGUUCUUCCAAACAAGGGUUUCACUUCGUCUGUCUCUGCGAAGCUUUCUAAAAAAAUUGCUAUGUGUUUGAUUAUCUUUUUCCACCAGUUCCUUCAUGACUGUGUUCAUUUGCCCUUUAUUUUGGAGUAAUUGAUUGAUUACCUAAACUGUGUGGGGUUUGAAAUUUGCUUUGCUUACUAAGGUGAUUACUUCCUAUAAUUUUGUCAACUUUCCUUAUUUUGGGACUCUUAAUUGGCGUUGCUUGCCUUAAUUAUUCCUAGCAAGCUUAAUUUAUGGGCUGACUACCUUACCAACCCUAAAUUGGUCUCUAUUUUCUUGUCUUACCUUAUUUGUGUGACUAAUUGCCCUGUUACUUGAGGGAUUUUUUGUGUUCUGACUCUAAUUGGCUAUCAGACCUAUCACAUACCUUAUUUAGACCUCGAUUCCGAGUUAUUUUUAGAUAUAAUCCCAUAAUAUUUUCCUAUUGAUUGGCCUUGUCAUGCCUAAUUGAUUGACUAAUAGUUUUCUUUGCCUUAUUUGCAAACUUUUAAACUGUUUUACCUUAUUUACUCUACUCUACUCAAUACUAUAUAAGCCUCCCUCCUUUUCUUUAACACACACGCACACAGACAUAGAAAGACACACAAAGUUCUUGCUCUCAUCCUCCAUCACAACCUUCUACUCUUUGUUUGUUGCACUGUCUAGCCGGCUGGAAGCCAAAGCUAGAUCUUUGCACCCUGUUUGCUUCACUCUUGUAUUGCUAUCUCUUUACUGGUAUGCCUCCACUACUACUAUUCAGUUAAACCUAUGUGUUUCCUUGUAAUCAGCAUGUCUACUUUUGUUUAACCUAUGUGUUUCCUUGUAAUCAGCAUGUCUACUUAUGUUUAAUCAAACCUAUGCGUUUCCUACUUUAAGCAUGUUUACAUGUUUGCUUAUGUGUAAAUUAGAUCCCUGUCUAAAUGUUUCUCAACUGGCAUGUUUCUUGUCUUGUUUUAAGUGUUCACUCCUUAGCAGACUAAUAAUUUCCAUGCUCUUAAUCCCUGCUACCCCUUUGUAUAUAACUGUCUGAUUGGUAAUUUGAUCCCACCAUGCCAUGUCUCUGUUUAAUGCCUGUCCAUAUACCCACCUAGUAACAACAAGUAAACUAAGUUGAAACUUUGUUUGAGGUGAUCCUGUUUCUGCCUACUGUUUGAUUUAUGGAAUCUUUGUUUGAAUCUCAAAUGUUGAAAUGACUCUGUUUGCUCCUUACCUCCUGAAAAUUCCAAAACUAUUUUCUUAAAAAACUCUCUCCUAUUUUCAACUCCUACUCUUAGAACACCUGGGUCCUGCCCCUCCAGUGUGAGCAUUGCGUAGGAGUCCAUGAGACUCCUCUGAACUUUGACACACUAGGGCUGGCUCUGCAAAACUCACUCACAAAAAGGUUUCUUUUUAAAGGUUUUCUGGUGUGAGUAUUGCCUGGGGUCCUUGAGGCCCUUGGGAACUUUGACACACCAGGAUACCAUUGGGUGCACUAUGAGAAUAUUGGCAUGUUCAUACUUGGUUGAAGUCCAGGCUUUUCAGGUUUAUUGUUUGGGCUUAUUCAGGCUCCCUAUAGUUUAACAGUCUCAUUUUUGUAAGUCGUUCAUUCAUUUUGGGUCUGUAAUAAUAAUUCUCGUAAAACUGAUAUUGGGGACAUUAGUAAAAUGGGAGGGACUUUUAUAUAUGUUUUGUGG